Molecule: small nuclear RNA, 183 nt
Organism: Heterocephalus glaber (naked mole-rat)
Lineage: Eukaryota; Metazoa; Chordata; Mammalia; Rodentia; Bathyergidae
Gene: U2
Rfam family: U2 spliceosomal RNA
About the family: U2 is a small nuclear RNA (snRNA) component of the spliceosome (involved in pre-mRNA splicing).
Source: Ensembl
AUUGCUUCUCAACCUUUUGGCUAUCAAGUGUAGUAUCUAAUCAGUGAAAUAUCUGAUAUGUACUCUAUCUGAGGAUAGUAUACUAAAUGUACUUUUGGAGGAGGGAGACAGAAUAGGAGCUUACUUCAACCACUUCACUUGUUGACAUGGUAUUACAGUGCCUCCAGGAAUGGUAAAGCAUUC